UGGGGAAUUUUGGACAAUGGGCGAAAGCCUGAUCCAGCCAUGCCGCGUGAGUGAAGAAGGCCUUCGGGUUGUAAAGCUCUUUUAGUCGGAAAGAAAGAGUUGCAAUGAAUAAUUGUGAUUUAUGACGGUACCGACAGAAAAAGCACCGGCUAACUACGUGCCAGCAGCCGCGGUAAUACGUAGGGUGCGAGCGUUAAUCGGAAUUACUGGGCGUAAAGGGUGCGCAGGCGGUCUUGCAAGUCAGAUGUGAAAGCCCCGGGCUUAACCUGGGAAUUGCGUUUGAAACUACAAGACUAGAGUGCAGCAGGGGGGAGUGGAAUUCCAUGUGUAGCAGUGAAAUGCGUAGGGAUGUGGAAGAACACCGAUGGCGAAGGCAGCUCCCUGGGUUGACACUGACGCUCAUGCACGAAAGCGUGGGGAGCAAACA
Molecule: ribosomal RNA, 427 nt
Filed under: uncultured bacterium
Lineage: Bacteria
Description: bacterial SSU rRNA
Rfam family: Bacterial small subunit ribosomal RNA
Source: RNAcentral